Molecule: long non-coding RNA, 1046 nt
Filed under: Meriones unguiculatus (Mongolian gerbil)
Lineage: Eukaryota; Metazoa; Chordata; Mammalia; Rodentia; Muridae
Description: lncRNA (ENSMUGG00000012743.1)
Source: RNAcentral
ACCAGUUCUGUUUACUUGUGAGAAAAAGCGAGCAAGUGGGUACUCAGGUGUUUGAGGAUUGACUAGAUGAAGGCUCAGGGGCCCCAGGUAGGAGAAAUGAGUUUGCGAAGAGACUGCCCGGUCAGUGGUGGAACACUCUCCUGGGAUGCAGGCAACUAUGCAGAAGAGGAGACAGAAAGAUUGUCAGAGCCAAUGACACCGAGGAAAAAGCAUCUUCCAGACACAACAGGACUGACGUACAUACAAACUGACACUGAGGAAACUGUUUCUCAGAAACAACAGGACUGACGCACAUAUGAACUCAUACCGAGGAAACAGUAUCUUCCAGACACAACAGAAUGGACGCACAUGCAAACUCAUGAAGAUUGUGGCAGUAAACACAGGACCUACACAGGUCCAAGCCAAAUGGGGGAGUGGCCAUGAACUCCCAUCCCUAAGCAAGAAGCUGUCUCCAGAUGACAACCUCUCGAAAAGGAAAAAUUAGUCUCUCCAAUGGAGUCUCACUGGGCGUACAGGUGGGCCACUCUGAAGGUCAGGCCCCAUGCUCAGCAGGAAAUGCCCAGCACAAAGUGAACUAAAUGAGUACGGAGGGAUGGAACAGUGGUUAGGAGCACUGACGGCUGUUCUAGAGGACCCAGGUUUGAUUCCCAGCAUCCACAUGGGCAGAUCAUAACCAUCUGGAACUCCAGUUUCAUGGGAUCCAAUGCCACCUUCUGGCCACCACAGUGUGGCAGCAGAAUGAAGCCCCCUGCCCCGAUGCACUGCCCAAAUGUCCUCCUCGUCAUCCCCAGAACUUGUGAAUGCUUACCUUACAUGCCAAAAGAGGUUUUGCAGAAAGGUACUGUAAUAAAGAGAGUCAAAGAGGAAAACAUCAGCGAUGGAAAAGUGCAAGCAGCCAACCAGUUUGGGAGUCCCGGGGGUAGCUUUUCUCUGAGGAGACAUAUGACAUGCAUAUAACUGUUUGUGUUGCAUUGUUGUGCCUUUCUGGACACAGAGAACUUCAGUUUUUGCUAAGCAUUGAUAUAAAUGGAAUCCUCACUUAACAU